This is an RNA transcript of Andrographis paniculata, 2828 nucleotides long. It is a transcript of the gene named protein NPG1-like, with no coding region annotated. The transcript is spliced from 8 exons. The record is from RefSeq and is a predicted model, not a curated record. Lineage: Eukaryota; Viridiplantae; Streptophyta; Magnoliopsida; Lamiales; Acanthaceae.
GAGAAAUCGAAUAUCGGAAUGCUUGAAGGCCAAGAUAUUCCCCGGCCGCCGCCAUAACCAGUACUGAGUACUGACAGCUCUGUAAUUUAAUUACGUUGGCGUCAAUGCACAGCACCGUCCCUUGAUCCAUCCGUUAUUUCUUCAUUCUUCCAACUCCCCAAUUGUUUCAUCAUAAUCAUACAUUCUCCCCCCGCGGAAUCGUGAUCUCCACCACCGACUACUGCAUUGAAGAUUUUCUGGAUCAUUCCCCCGAUUCCUAAUCUUAGAAUUGGAAGCGGUUACAGAAUGAAAGCGCGUGGUUGUUUUCGUUUGCUGUGGUAAAAUUAGGUCAGAAACAAAGAUGGCAGAGGGCGAAUCGCAGGAGGCCGGUCAAUCGGAGAUUGAUCCAUCUGUCCGGCAAGUAGUUUGCAAUGGCGUUACCAUGAAAACAGAUGAAGUAGAAGCAAAGCUAGACCAAGGAAAUAUCCAAGAUGCUGAAGCUGCAUUUCGAGAUAAAUUAUCUCUCACCUCAGAGGAAGCAAGAGCUCUUCUCGGGAGAUUAGAAUACAAGCGAGGCAAUACUGAUAGUGCAUUGCGAAUAUUCAACGACAUCGAUCUUCAAGCAGCCAUACAACGGCUGCAACAAUCGUUGGGUGAAAGGCAGGGUGGAUCCAAAAGGGGUCGAUCGCGCUCCUCUGAAUCAGUAUCAUCUGGUUCACCAUCACAGCAUAGUACUAACCUUGUGCUCGAUGCCGUGUUUUUGAAAGCCAAGUGUCUUCAGAAACGACGAAAAUUUUCAGAUGCUAUUGAGGAGUGCAAGAGUAUGCUUGAUGUAGUAGAAAAGGCAAUGUCUGAUGGCGCACCUCCGGAUACUUUGGUAGAAACUAAGCUUCAAGAACCUGUCAGCCGAACUAUGGCGCUACUCCCCGAAUUAUUGAUGCAAAUAGGAUCCUUUUCGGAUGGAAUAGAUGCAUACCGUCAAGCGCUGCAAACGCAGUGGAACCUUGAUGAUGAAUGUUUUGCAAGGAUUCAAAAGGGAUUCGCAGUUUUCUUGCUGUAUAGUGGGGUUGAGGCUUCGCCACCGAGCGCCCCUUCGCAGGUUAAUGAUCCAUACAUACCUAAAAACAAUGUGGAAGAGGCGAUUUUACUUUUGAUGAUUCUUAUGAGAAAGUUUUACCAAGGAAAGAUUAAAUGGGAUCCAUCGGUGUUGGAGCACCUUACUUUUGCUCUAUCUCUAUGCAGCCAAACUUUGGUUUUAGCAAAGCAGCUCGAAGAGUUUUUACCAGGAGUGAUACAUCGUAUCGAGCGUUGGAAAACUAUGGCACUGGCUUUUACCGGAGCCGGGCAGAAUAAAUCUGCCUUGGAUCUUCUGAGAAAGACUUUGCAUCCAUAUGAGCAGCCGAAUGAUAUCAUCUCAUCUCUAAUGGCUGCUAAAAUAUGCAGUGAGGAUGCGAGUUUGGCAGCCGAGGGAGUGAAGCAUGCACAAACGGUACUAUCUAAUGUUGAAGCGGGAAAUGCAAGUGCACAUUUUAAAAGUGUUGGCCUCCAUAUGCUUGGUAUUUGCCUUGGAAAGCAGGCGAAAAUCUCUUCUUCUGAUUUUGAACGAUCACAGCUUCAGUCGGGGGCGCUGAAGUCGUUGGAGAGUGCAUUAGCUCUAGAUCCGCAGAACCUAGACCUAAUAUUCAUGCUGGGGAUCCAAUAUGCCGAGCAUAGAAAUCUUGAUGCAGCUUUGCGAUACGCCAAGUUGUAUUUAGAUGCAACCGGAGGAUCUAUGAUAAAAGGGUGGAGACUGCUGGCUUUAGUUUUAUCCGGCCAGCGACGCUUUUCGGAGGCGGAUGUGGUCAUCGAUGCAGCUUUGGAUGAAACUUCGAAAUGGGAUCAAGGUCCCCUCCUUAGAACCAAAGCCAAGCUUAAAAUUGCUCAAUCUCUACACAAGGAUGCAAUCGAGACUUAUCGUCACCUUCUUGCAUUAGUACAAGCUCAGAAAAAAUCUUCGGGACCUAAUGGAAACGAGCCUCAGCCGGAUGAUGAGAGUGUAAAUGAAUUUGAAGUUUGGCUCGGAUUAGCAACACUAUACUCUAGCCUUUCUCAUUGGAAGGAUGCUGAGGUAUGCCUCGGAAAAGCUCGAGCCCUGAAAGAGUACUCGCCAGAAACUCUCCACAUCGAAGGUGUUAUACAAGAAAAGCAAGGGAACAUCAACAAAGCGUUGGCUGCUUACAUCAACUCCCUCUUGAUCGAACCAAAAUACGUGCCAUGCAAAAUUCUGAUCAGCACCGCAUUGGCGAAGAUGGGGGAGAAAAUGCUACCUGCCGCAAGAACUCUACUUUCGGAUGCACUAAGGAUCGAACCGACAAAUUAUCUGGCCUGGUACAAUUUAGCACUCGUCCACAAGGCCGCAGGACGGCUAGUCGAUGCAAUGGACUGUUUCCAGGCAGCUUCAAUGCUCGAAGAAUCCGAACCUGUCGAAAGCUUCGGUUCCAUUCGAUGAACAUCGCCGCUCGUGCUGAUUCGGGAUCGCGUUCUUUAACUCUUUGCUAACUUGUAGCAUGCAGGUUGGUGUGGAAAUCGAAGCAUGACACGUGGAGGAAGGUGGUUGGUAAGGUGAGGAGGAAGCAUCUGGAAGCACACGUGUGGGGGAGUUGGCAGACAGCUGGCGAUGAUCGGAAUCCAGAAAUUCGUAAGCACUCACUCACUCUUUCUCUCUCUACUGGCGGCGCCUUUUGUCCUUUUCUGCCACAAUACUAUAGUGGAAUUUACUUGUUUUAUUUUGACAAAAAAAAUAUAGGUAUAUAAAUAAAUAAAAUGGAAAUAUUUUAAACUGAAAUUAAUAAUAAAAAUUUUGUAAAGAU